RNAcentral lists this non-coding RNA (53 nucleotides) under unclassified sequences. RNAcentral's name for it is "eL15-Euryarchaeota ribosomal protein leader". It matches the Rfam family "eL15-Euryarchaeota ribosomal protein leader". The record is from RNAcentral.
CGGGAUUCGUCCCGGGAUAGGAAUGUGGCUCAUCUACUGAGCUGAACCUGAAG